RNAcentral lists this long non-coding RNA (371 nucleotides) under Mytilus galloprovincialis (Mediterranean mussel). Lineage: Eukaryota; Metazoa; Mollusca; Bivalvia; Mytilida; Mytilidae. The record is from RNAcentral.
GUUGGAAUGAAAUAGGUUGAAACAAGUCGAUUGAACGUUAAUAUAGGUCGGGUAAAUGUGGUGGAAUAGAAGGUAACUCAUCUGAACUUUGAGGCAGUGCCGAGGGCACCUUGUCUCGUGUCUCUUCAAUGCCACGUCUUACGUCACUUAUCGCGUUUUCAUCUGCCGUACCCACUACAUCGUCAAAUUAUUCUAUGUAAUCAAUAGGUUAGACGAUUGCCAUCAUUUAAAAUGGUUAAGAGGCAACUAUUUCCUUUUCCAACUACGUGCGAAACCAAUUUGCAACCAUUUAGCGAGCAUGGUCCUAAAAUACACUCCUGAUCAGCACUUUUUUUUAUUUAAUGGUAACAGUCAUUUUUGAGUUUGGCGGA